UUCGAUUAUGGCUCAGAUUGAACGCUGGCGGGAUGCUUUACACAUGCAAGUCGAACGGCAGCACGGACUUCGGUCUGGUGGCGGGUAGCGAACGGGUAGUAUCGGAACGUGCCUAGUAGCGGGGGAUAACUACGCGAAGCGUAGCUAAUGCCGCAUACGCCCUUCGGGGAAAGCGGGGGACCUUCAGGCCUCGCACUAUUAGAGCGGCCGAUAUCGGAUUAGCUAGUUGGUGGGAGUAACGGCUCACCAAGGCGACGAUCCGUAGCUGGUUUGAGAGGACGACCAGCCACACUGGGACUGAGACACGGCCCAGACUCCUACAGGAGGACAGCAGUGGGGAAUUUUGGACAAUGGGGAAACUGAUCCAGCCAUCCCGCGUGUGCGAUGAAGGCCUUCGGGUUGUAAGCACUUUUGGCAGGGGAAAGAAACGGCACGGGAUAAUACCCCACGUGCAACUGACAGUACCUGCAGAAUAAGCACCGGCUAACUACGUGCCAGCAGCCGCGGUAAUACGUAGGGUGCAAGCGUUAAUCGGAAUUACUAGGCGUAAAGCGUGCGCAGGCGGUUCGGAAGAAAGAUGUGAAAUCCCAGAGGCUUAACUGGAACUGCAUUUUUAACUACCGAGCUAGAAGAGUGUCGGAAGUUAAAAUUCUUGAUAACAGCGAUGAAGACCGUGUUAUGGAGGACUUGCCGGUGCGAAGCAACCUCUAAGGAGUUGCUGCCGGCGCUCAUGCGGGACGUGAACGGCUGGACUGAUUCUACCUGGCCAGAUGCCGCCACAGCGAUAUCAACUGGCUGACGGGGCGUGGGUGCCGGGCGCGCAGCUUAACGCGUGAAGACAACACAAGGAGUGAUGCGGGAUAAACUCAAAGAUGCGACGGAACCACACCGGCAGUGGACGAUGUGGUCCCAUUCUGAUGCAACGCGAAAACCCUACCGCGGGCGUGUGUGAUCCAAGGGGACGGAGUGCUACCCAGAAGAACGGAACCUGGUGCUGCGUAUCUGGUGGAAGCUCGUGUCUGACGGAGAUAAUGGGUUGGUCCGCAGCAGGCGCGACCGUAUCAUUGUUUUCAGAAGGGCACUCUGGCAGACUGCAGCCAAACCGGAGAAGAUGGGAACAAUCAAAGUCUCCUUUUCCAUGGUUGGGCUGCAUCACUUGAUGAAUUCGGGACGAGGUCGCUGGCGAAAGCCGCGAGGAGCCAAUCCCGAAACCCGAUCGUAGUCCGGAUCGCAGUCUGCAACUCGACUGCGUGAAGUCGGAAUCGCUAGUAAUCGCGGAUCAGCAUGUCGCGGUGAAUACGUUCCCGGGUCUUGUACACACCGCCCGUCACACACCAUGGGAGUGGGUUUUACCAGAAGUAGUUAGCCUAACCGUAAGGGCGAUUACCACGGUAGGAUUCAUGACUGGGGUGAAGUCGUAACAAGGUAG
Molecule: ribosomal RNA, 1429 nt
Filed under: uncultured Bordetella sp.
Lineage: Bacteria; Pseudomonadati; Pseudomonadota; Betaproteobacteria; Burkholderiales; Alcaligenaceae
Description: partial 16S-23S ribosomal RNA intergenic spacer
Rfam family: Bacterial small subunit ribosomal RNA
Source: RNAcentral